Molecule: ribosomal RNA, 1428 nt
Filed under: uncultured organism
Description: 16S ribosomal RNA
Rfam family: Bacterial small subunit ribosomal RNA
Source: RNAcentral
CUGGCGGCGUGCUUAACACAUGCAAGUCGAACGGAAAGGCCCUGCUUUUGUGGGGUGCUCGAGUGGCGAACGGGUGAGUAACACGUGAGUAACCUGCCCUUGACUUUGGGAUAACUUCAGGAAACUGGGGCUAAUACCGGAUAGGAGCUCCUGCUGCAUGGUGGGGGUUGGAAAGUUUCGGCGGUUGGGGAUGGACUCGCGGCUUAUCAGCUUGUUGGUGGGGUAGUGGCUUACCAAGGCUUUGACGGGUAGCCGGCCUGAGAGGGUGACCGGCCACAUUGGGACUGAGAUACGGCCCGGACUCCUACGGGAGGCAGCAGUGGGGAAUAUUGCACAAUGGGCGGAAGCCUGAUGCAGCAACGCCGCGUGCGGGAUGACGGCCUUCGGGUUGUAAACCGCUUUCGCCUGUGACGAAGCGUGAGUGACGGUAAUGGGUAAAGAAGCACCGGCUAACUACGUGCCAGCAGCCGCGGUGAUACGUAGGGUGCGAGCGUUGUCCGGAUUUAUUGGGCGUAAAGGGCUCGUAGGUGGUUGAUCGCGUCGGAAGUGUAAUCUUGGGGCUUAACCCUGAGCGUGCUUUCGAUACGGGUUGACUUGAGGAAGGUAGGGGAGAAUGGAAUUCCUGGUGGAGCGGUGGAAUGCGCAGAUAUCAGGAGGAACACCAGUGGCGAAGGCGGUUCUCUGGGCCUUUCCUGACGCUGAGGAGCGAAAGCGUGGGGAGCGAACAGGCUUAGAUACCCUGGUAGUCCACGCUGUAAACGGUGGGUACUAGGUGUGGGGUCCAUUCCACGGGUUCCGUGCCGUAGCUAACGCUUUAAGUACCCCGCCUGGGGAGUACGGCCGCAAGGCUAAAACUCAAAGGAAUUGACGGGGCCCCGCACAAGCGGCGGAGCAUGCGGAUUAAUUCGAUGCAACGCGUAGAACCUUACCUGGGUUUGACAUGGAUCGGGAGUGCUCAGAGAUGGGUGUGCCUCUUUUGGGGUCGGUUCACAGGUGGUGCAUGGCUGUCGUCAGCUCGUGUCGUGAGAUGUUGGGUUAAGUCCCGCAACGAGCGCAACCCUUGUUCACUGUUGCCAGCACGUUAUGGUGGGGACUCAGUGGAGACCGCCGGGGUCAAUUCGGAGGAAGGUGGGGAUGACGUCAAGUCAUCAUGCCCCUUAUGUCCAGGGCUUCACGCAUGCUACAAUGGCUGGUACAGAGAGUGGCGAGCCUGUGAGGGUGAGCGAAUCUCGGAAAGCCGGUCUCAGUUCGGAUUGGGGUCUGCAACUCGACCUCAUGAAGUCGGAGUCGCUAGUAAUCGCAGAUCAGCAACGCUGCGGUGAAUACGUUCCCGGGGCUUGUACACACCGCCCGUCAAGUCAUGAAAGUUGGUAACACCCGAAGCCGGUGGCCUAACCGUUGUGGGGGAGCCGUCGAAGGUGGGACUGG